GAUAAAAUGGCUGAUUAAAGCUGUAAAUUGUAAAUUUACUCAUGAGUUAUUCUUUUAUUA
This 60-nucleotide transfer RNA is filed under the name Xenos vesparum. Its description in RNAcentral is "tRNA-Tyr". Lineage: Eukaryota; Metazoa; Arthropoda; Insecta; Strepsiptera; Xenidae. The record is from RNAcentral.